AUGUCCAAGCGUACCCGAGACGUCGAGCUAGAUCGGCUGGUGCAUGACAAGCGGCCCGAUGGUGGGGACGCCUCCCCUCCGGGCUGCGGGGCACUAGAGCAGCUCCCCAAUGUCCCCAGCUACCGAGCCACUGCUGCCUCCCGAAUCCCUGUCCUUGUCGCCAGCAAGCCAAAGGCUGGAGUUGUCAACCCCAAUUUUUGCAAUGAGGAGCAAUCCCCCCUAGGUAUUAGAGAUGUUGAGAAAGAGGAGCUGGCUGAGGAUGGGGGACAAGUCAAGCCUAGUUGCUGUGUUUGCGCCCACAGGAGAAAGCUGCCGGCCCCGGAGGAUGGCCUGGAGGAGGGACUGGUGAACCAGUCCCCCACCCGAGCGCUGCUGGGCUGGGACGAGCAGCAGAGGGAAAGGUCCACGAGCCUGAGCAGUGCCGUCAUCAACAACCGGCUCCAGGAGCUGGUGAAGCUCUUCAAAGAGAGGACCGAGAAGGUGAAGGAGAAGCUGACCGACCCUGAUGUCACCUCGGACGACGAGAGCCCUACAGCAUCCCCUGCUAAGCCGGCACCCGCGGCAGCACCUGUGCCUCCCCCAGGAGGGGAGCCGGAGGGGGACAAGCUGGCAGGGGACGAGCACUACUGUGAGAUGCUGUGCUGUGUGUUCAAGCACCGGCCCUGGAUGGACCGUUUGAAAAACUACCGGUUCCCCAGCAGCAUCGACCCACUCACCAACCUGAUGUAUGUUCUGUGGCUGUUCUUCGUUGUGAUGGCCUGGAACUGGAACUGCUGGUUGAUCCCCGUCCGCUGGGCUUUUCCGUACCAGACACCAUCAAACAUCCACUGCUGGCUGGCUGUGGACUACCUCUGCGACCUCAUCUAUCUGCUGGACAUCCUUGUCUUUCAGACCCGGUUGCAGUUUGUCCAGGGGGGAGACAUAAUAACUGAUAAAAAGGCCAUGAAAGAGAACUACCUGCGAUCACAGCGCUUUAAGAUGGAUGUGGUGUGCCUCCUGCCCCUGGAUUUCUUCUACUUCAAAGUCGGUGUCAACCCGCUCCUGCGCUUUCCUCGCUGUCUGAAGUACAUGGCCUUCUUCGAGUUCAACAACCGCCUGGAGGCUAUCCUGAGCAAGGCGUACAUCUACAGAGUGAUUCGGACUACUGCCUAUUUACUGUACAGCUUGCAUGUGAACUCCUGCCUCUACUACUGGGCAUCAGCCUAUGAGGGACUGGGCUCUACCACCUGGGUCUACGAUGGGGAAGGAAACAGCUACAUCCGCUGCUACUACUGGGCAGUCAAAACCCUCAUCACCAUUGGGGGCCUGCCGGACCCCAAGACACUGUUUGAGAUCAUCUUCCAGCUGCUGAACUACUUCACGGGCGUCUUUGCUUUCUCCGUCAUGAUAGGGCAGAUGAGAGAUGUGGUUGGCGCGGCUACAGCAGGGCAAACUUACUAUCGGAGCUGCAUGGACAGUACCAUUAAAUACAUGAACUUCUACAAAAUUCCCAAAACUGUUCAGAACCGGGUGAAAACGUGGUAUGAGUACACGUGGCAUUCGCAAGGCAUGCUAGAUGAGUCAGAGUUGCUGGUGCAGCUGCCGGACAAGAUGAGGCUGGACAUUGCCAUCGACGUGAACUACAACAUCGUGAGCAAAGUGGCCCUCUUCCAGGGCUGCGACAGGCAGAUGAUCUUCGACAUGUUGAAGCGGCUCAGAUCAGUAGUCUACCUGCCUAAUGACUACGUGUGUAAGAAGGGAGAAAUCGGCCGUGAAAUGUACAUUAUCCAAGCGGGACAAGUGCAGGUGCUGGGAGGACCCGACGGCAAAACUGUGCUAGUGACUCUGAAAGCCGGAUCCGUGUUUGGAGAAAUAAGCUUGCUGGCGGCAGGAGGGGGGAAUCGCCGAACAGCAAACGUCGUAGCUCACGGCUUCGCUAACCUCUUCAUUUUGGAUAAGAAGGACUUGAAUGAGAUUUUGGUGCAUUAUCCAGAGUCUCAGAAGCUGCUGCGUAAGAAGGCCAAGAAAAUGCUGAAAAACAACAAUAAACCCAAAGAUGAAAAAGGAGCCCCUGGAGACUCCCUGAUCAUCCCUCCGAAAGCUGACACCCCAAAGCUCUUCCAGGCUGCCCUGGCCGCCACGGGGAGGAUGGGGGGCAAGGGGCCACUGGCCCAACUCCGGUGGAGGCUGAAGGAGCUGAAGGCGAUGCAGGCAAUGCAGGUCAGUGCAGGGAGGAUGGAUUCCACUUUCAGUCCAAUCCCACCGAAAUCACCAGUGCACCGGAGAUCACCUGUCACCUCCCACAAAGCAAGCACCCAUCUGGGAGAAGAAAUAUUCUCAAAAUCUUCUGAUAGUUUAGUCACCAUUCGUGUGAUUCCCACGGCACAAGAGGAUGAAGAAAUCCUUGCUGCUGAGAUUUCAGAGAAAGAAGACGAAAAAGAAGAGAAAUGA
This is a long non-coding RNA of Calidris pygmaea (Spoon-billed sandpiper), 2430 nucleotides long. Lineage: Eukaryota; Metazoa; Chordata; Aves; Charadriiformes; Scolopacidae. The record is from Ensembl.